GACGAACGCUGGCGGCGUGCCUAAUACAUGCCAGUCGAGCGAACAGACGAGGUGCUUGCUCCUCUGACGUUAGCGGCGAACGGGUGAGUAACACGUGGAUAACCUACCUUUAAGACUGGGAUAACUUCGGGAAACCGGAGCUAAUACCGGAUAAUAUAUUGAACCGCAUGGUUCAAUAGUGAAAGAUGCUUUUGCUGUCACUUAUGGAUGGAUCCGCGCCGCAUUAGCUAGUUGGUAGGGUAACGGCGUACAAAGGCAACGAUGCGUAGCCGACCUGAGAGGGGGAUCGGCCACCCUGGAACUGAGACACGGUCCAGACUCCUACGGGAGGCAGCAGUAGGGAAUCUUCCGCAAUGGGCGAAAGCCUGACGGAGCAACGCCGCGUGAGUGAUGAAGGUCUUCGGAUCGUAAAACUCUGUUAUUGGGGAAGAACAAAUGUGUAAGUAACUAUGCACGUCUUGACGGUACCUAAUCAGAAAGCCACGGCUAACUACGUG
RNAcentral lists this ribosomal RNA (497 nucleotides) under uncultured bacterium. RNAcentral describes it as "partial 16S ribosomal RNA". It matches the Rfam family "Bacterial small subunit ribosomal RNA", at positions 28 to 507 of the family's 1533-position model. The record is from RNAcentral.